RNAcentral lists this ribosomal RNA (1507 nucleotides) under uncultured bacterium. RNAcentral's name for it is "bacterial SSU rRNA". It matches the Rfam family "Bacterial small subunit ribosomal RNA". The record is from RNAcentral.
AGAGUUUGAUCCUGGCUCAGGAUGAACGCUGGCGGCGUGCCUAAUACAUGCAAGUCGAACGAGGUGCUUUUGUAGCAAUACGAGAGUAUCCUAGUGGCGAACGGGUGAGUAACGCGUUGGUGACUUACCCCAAAGUGUGGAAUAACAGUCCGAAAGGAUUGCUAAUACCGCAUGUGGUCAUUGGAUUUAGAAACUGAUGACUAAAGGAGCAAUUCGCUUUGGGAGGGACCUGCGUCCCAUCAGCUAGUUGGUGAGGUAACGGCCCACCAAGGCUACGACGGGUAGGGGACCUGAGAGGGUGACCCCCCACAAUGGAACUGAAACACGGUCCAUACACCUACGGGUGGCAGCAGUAGGGAAUAUUGCACAAUGGGCGAAAGCCUGAUGCAGCAACGCCGCGUGUGCGAUGAAGGCCUUCGGGUCGUAAAGCACUUUUCUGAGAGAUGAGAAAGGACAGUAUCUCAGGAAUAAGUCUCGGCUAACUACGUGCCAGCAGCCGCGGUAACACGUAGGAGGCGAGCGUUAUCCGGAUUCACUGGGCGUAAAGCGCGUGCAGGCGGUUUCGGUAAGUUGGGCGUGAAAGCUCCCGGCUCAACUGGGAGAGGUCGUUCAAUACUCCCAGACUUAGAGAAGCCAUAAAGAGGAAAAUGGAAUUCCAGGUGUAGUGGUGAAAUGCGUAAAUAUCUGGAGGAACACCAGUGGCGAAGGCGAUUKKCGWRGKCKAYYWCYKRSRCUSAKACGYGACASUGAGGUUCAAACGCGCAGUAGGGUAGUAACAGGAUUAGAGACCCCGGUAUCCUACCGUAAACGAUGUCAACUAGCCGUUGGGAGCCUUGAGCUCUUAGUGGCGCAGCUAACGCAUUAAGUUGACCGCCUGGGGAGUACGGCCGCAAGGUUAAAACUCAAAUGAAUUGACGGGGGCCCGCACAAGCGGUGGAGCAUGUGGUUUAAUUCGAAGCAACGCGAAGAACCUUACCAGGCCUUGACAUCCAAUGAACUUUCCAGAGAUGGAUUGGUGCCUUCGGGAACAUUGAGACAGGUGCUGCAUGGCUGUCGUCAGCUCGUGUCGUGAGAUGUUGGGUUAAGUCCCGUAACGAGCGCAACCCUUGUCCUUAGUUACCAGCACGUAAUGGUGGGCACUCUAAGGAGACUGCCGGUGACAAACCGGAGGAAGGUGGGGAUGACGUCAAGUCAUCAUGGCCUCUUACGGCCUGGGCUACACACGUGCUACAAUGGUCGGUACAGAGGGUUGCCAAGCCGCGAGGUGGAGCUAAUCCCAGAAAACCGAUCGUAGUCCGGAUCGCAGUCUGCAACUCGACUGCGUGAAGUUGGAAUCGCUAGUAAUCGCGGAUCAGCAUGUCGCGGUGAAUACGUUCCCGGGUCUUGUACACACCGCCCGUCACACCAUGGGAGCGGGUUUUACCAGAAGUAGGUAGCUUAACCGCAAGGAGGGCGCUUACCACGGUAGGAUUCGUGACUGGGGUGAAGUCGUAACAAGGUAACCGUA